This 987-nucleotide ribosomal RNA is filed under the name uncultured Pseudoalteromonas sp. Its description in RNAcentral is "bacterial SSU rRNA". It matches the Rfam family "Bacterial small subunit ribosomal RNA", at positions 372 to 1413 of the family's 1533-position model. The record is from RNAcentral. Lineage: Bacteria; Pseudomonadati; Pseudomonadota; Gammaproteobacteria; Alteromonadales; Pseudoalteromonadaceae.
UUGGCGCAAGCCUUUUGCAGAGAUGCCCCGUCUGUGCAGAAGCCCUUCGGGAUGAAAGGCACUUGCAGUCAGGAGGCAAGGUUACAAGUUAAUACCUACUAGCUGUGACGUUACUGACAGUCGGAAUUACUGGGCGUAAAGCGUACGCAGGCGGCUUGUUAAGCCAGAUGUGAAAGCCCCGGGCUCCACCUGGGAACAGCAUUUCAAACUGGCAAGCUAGAGUGUGAUAGAGGGUGGUAGAAUUUCAGGUGUAGCGGUGAAAUGCGUAGAGAUCGGAAGGAAUACCGAUGGCGAAGGCAGCCACCUGGGUCAACACUGACGCUCAUGUACGAAAGCGUGGGCAGCAAACAGGAUUAGAUACCCUGGUAGUCCACGCCGUAAACGAUGUCUACUAGAAGCUCGCAAGCUCGGUUCUGUUUUUCAAAGCUAACGCAUUAAGUAGAGAGCCUGGGGAGUACGGCCGCAAGGUUAAAACUCAAAUGAAUUGACGGGGGCCCGCACAAGCGGUGGAGCAUGUGGUUUAAUUCGAUGCAACGCGAAGAACCUUACCUACACUUGACAUACAGAGAACUUACCAGAGAUGGUUUGGUGCCUUCGGGAACUCUGAUACAGGUGCUGCAUGGCUGACGUCAGCUCGUGUUGUGAGAUGUUGGGUUAAGUCCCGCAACGAGCGCAACCCCUAUCCUUAGUUGCUAGCAGGUAAUGCUGAGAACUCUAAGGAGACUGCCGGUGAUAAACCGGAGGAAGGUGGGGCCGACGUCAAGUCAUCAUGGCCCUUACGUGUAGGGCUACACACGUACUACAAUGGCGCAUACAGAGUGCUGCGAACUCGCGAGAGUAAGCGAAUCACUUAAAGUGCGUCGUAGUAAGGAUUGGAGUCUGCAACUCGACUCCAUGAAGACGGAAUCGCUAGUAAUCGCGUAUCAGAAUGACGCGGUGAAUACGUUCCCGGCCGUGCACGCACCGCCUACUAAUCGCGGUUCGGCA